This 467-nucleotide long non-coding RNA is filed under the name Ananas comosus (pineapple). RNAcentral describes it as "long non-coding RNA (ACOM_LNC038612)". Lineage: Eukaryota; Viridiplantae; Streptophyta; Magnoliopsida; Poales; Bromeliaceae. The record is from RNAcentral.
GACGAGCUAAAUUGAGGCGUGGUUUGAGUUUCGCGGACGAAACUCUUUUUAAGGGGUAGAGAAUGUAACAUACCGGAUUUUGAUAUAAAAGUAAAAAUAAAUAAAAAUAUUAUGAGAUACUAUUUUUAUUGGAUUUAGUGGAGUAAAAUAUAAGUCAGAAAUGACUUGUGCUGAAAUCGGAACGAAAACAGAAAAUUUAGAAUUUUCUGUGAAAGACGGGGCUGAUAUUUUAGCAGAAAAUGCACAGUGUCAGAAAAUUAUAAAAACUGGAGAGUAUGUCAGAAUUAUUUUUAUAAGGCUAGAUUUAAAGUUUCAUGUCAUUCUGACAUCCGAAAAGUGAAAAAUAAAAUCCGACUGCUAUCUGCUAGAGAUUUCAAUUCGGUAGAGCUUUCGGUGACCAAAUAUGGUCGAAACUGAAAGAUUAAAAUUUCUUUCGUUAAGUAAAACCGAGCCUGACUGUCAAAUUU